RNAcentral lists this ribosomal RNA (486 nucleotides) under uncultured bacterium. Its description in RNAcentral is "bacterial SSU rRNA". It matches the Rfam family "Bacterial small subunit ribosomal RNA", at positions 28 to 507 of the family's 1533-position model. The record is from RNAcentral.
GAUGAACGCUAGCGGCAGGCUUAACACAUGCAAGUCGAGGGGUAACAUAGAAAAGCUUGCUUUUCUGAUGACGACCGGCGCACGGGUGCGUAACGCGUAUACAACCUACCUUUUAGCGGGGAAUAGCCCAGGGAAACUUGGAUUAAUGCCCCAUAGUAUAUAGACUUCUCCUGAAGUUUAUAUUAAACAUUUAUGGCUAUUAGAUGGGUAUGCGUCCUAUUAGUUAGUUGGUAAGGUAACGGCAUACCAAGGCAGCGAUAGGUAGGGGUCCUGAGAGGGAGAUCCCCACACUGGUACUGAGACACGGACCAGACUCCUACGGGAGGCAGCAGUGAGGAAUAUUGGACAAUGGGCGAGAGCCUGAUCCAGCCAUGCCGCGUGCAGGAAGACUGCCCUAUGGGUUGUAAACUGCUUUUACAGAGGAAGAACCACCCCACGUGUGGGGGUUUGACGGUACUCUGCGAAUAAGGAUCGGCUAACUCCGUG